This 441-nucleotide ribosomal RNA is filed under the name Triticum aestivum (bread wheat). Its description in RNAcentral is "partial small subunit ribosomal RNA". The record is from RNAcentral. Lineage: Eukaryota; Viridiplantae; Streptophyta; Magnoliopsida; Poales; Poaceae.
AUGGUUGUUCGUCUACCUUUAUCCUUGGAAGCCCAGGCAGAAGCCCGCUUACUUAUGUUUUCUCAUAUGAAUCUCUUAUCUCCCGCUAUUGGGGAUCCUAUUUGCGUACCAACCCAAGACAUGCUUAUCGGGCUUUAUGUAUUAACAAUUGGAAAGCGUCGAGGUAUUUGUGCAAAUAGAUAUAAUAGUUGCACAAACUAUCCAAAUCUAAAAGUAAAUUACAAUAAUAAUAAUAAUUAUAAAUAUAGGAAAGAUAAAGAACCCCAUUUUUCUAGUUCUUAUGAUGCAUUAGGAGCUUAUAGACAAAAACUAAUCAGUUCAGAUAGUCCGUUGUGGCUACGAUGGAACAUGGAUCAACGUGUCAUGGGGUCAAGAGAAGUUAUGAUUGAAGUUCAAUAUGAAUCUUUGGGGAUUUAUCAAGAGAUUUAUGCCCACAUAUAA